This 516-nucleotide long non-coding RNA is filed under the name Mytilus galloprovincialis (Mediterranean mussel). Lineage: Eukaryota; Metazoa; Mollusca; Bivalvia; Mytilida; Mytilidae. The record is from RNAcentral.
GCUGUUUGAUUUUUUUUAUCUGAAUUUUUUCCUCCCAAAAUAUUCUAGCUUUAUAUUAUUAUUUAAAGAACUUAUCAUUAAAUUUAAUGGCAAAAAUCUCAAUCAGAACUUUCCAGAUCAGAAUAUCAAUUACCACUAAAAUGGGAAUCAACAUGUUUUUUAACUUUGACCCUCCCAAUCAAGAUUUGCAUGGUCAUUGACAAUAGUGAACUGAUACCUUAUGAAAACUUUCAUGAAAAUACUUUAUUUUCUGGUUAAUUCUUUUAUAUCAACAUUUCUAAAAUUGUUUUUCUAGGAAUGCAAAUAAAUGUUUUACCAAUUCUAUGGAUCAACAUUUCUAAAAUUGUUUUUCUAGGAUUGCAAAUAAAUGUUUUACCAAUUCUAUGGUCAAUCUUAUCAACACACUAAUAAGCAUAUAGACUAAAAUAAGUAUCUAUAACUUUCAAUCCUGAUCCCUUACCUACAAAAAUUUAUAAUGAACCACAUUACAAGACCAAAAAAUAAAUCAUAUUAUAC